GGAGAAAAGCAGGGGAUCGAAAGACCUUAUGCUUUUGGAGCGGCCGAUGUCUGAUUAGCUAGUUGGUAGGGUAAUGGCUUACCAAGGCGACGAUCAGUAGUUGGUCUGAGAGGACGACCAGCCACACUGGGACUGAGACACGGCCCAGACUCCUACGGGAGGCGGCAGUGGGGAAUUUUGGACAAUGGGCGCAAGCCUGAUCCAGCAAUGCCGCGUGAGUGAAGAAGGCCUUCGGGUUGUAAAGCUCUUUCAGUUGAAAAGAAAAAGCCGUGACUAAUAAUCAUGGUUCAUGACGGUAUCAACAGAAGAAGCACCGGCUAACUACGUGCCAGCAGCCGCGGUAAUACGUAGGGUGCAAGCGUUAAUCGGAAUUACUGGGCGUAAAGGGUGCGCAGGCGGUUCUGUAAGUCAGAUGUGAAAUCCCCGGGCUUAACCUGGGAACUGCGUUUGAAACUACAAAGCUAGAAGGGCGAA
This 474-nucleotide ribosomal RNA is filed under the name uncultured Nitrosomonas sp. RNAcentral describes it as "bacterial SSU rRNA". It matches the Rfam family "Bacterial small subunit ribosomal RNA", at positions 198 to 653 of the family's 1533-position model. Lineage: Bacteria; Pseudomonadati; Pseudomonadota; Betaproteobacteria; Nitrosomonadales; Nitrosomonadaceae. The record is from RNAcentral.